Molecule: ribosomal RNA, 492 nt
Filed under: uncultured bacterium
Lineage: Bacteria
Description: bacterial SSU rRNA
Rfam family: Bacterial small subunit ribosomal RNA
Source: RNAcentral
GGCUCAGAUUGAACGCUGGCGGAAUGCUUUACACAUGCAAGUCGAACGGCAGCACGGACUUCGGUCUGGUGGCGAGUGGCGAACGGGUGAGUAAUAUAUCGGAACGUGCCCAGUCGUGGGGGAUAACGUAGCGAAAGUUACGCUAAUACCGCAUACGAUCUACGGAUGAAAGCGGGGGAUCGCAAGAGCCUCGCGCGAUUGGAGCGGCCGAUAUCAGAUUAGGUAGUUGGUGGGGUAAAGGCUCACCAAGCCAACGAUCUGUAGCUGGUCUGAGAGGACGACCAGCCACACUGGAACUGAGACACGGUCCAGACUCCUACGGGAGGCAGCAGUGGGGAAUUUUGGACAAUGGACGCAAGUCUGAUCCAGCCAUUCCGCGUGCAGGAUGAAGGCCCUCGGGUUGUAAACUGCUUUUGUACGGAACGAAAAGGUUUCUAUUAAUACUAGGAGCUCAUGACGGUACCGUAAGAAUAAGCACCGGCUAACUACGUG